AUUAUGUAUUUUACUUGGAACUCAACAAGACUAGAUAAUUUCAAGAUUCGAAAUUUGAUUGUUAACUAAUUUAACUAAUUUAAAUAGCUCUUGAAACUCCAUAGGUAAUGGAACUUUUACAGAACAAAUCCUCCCAAAUCUCAGAGAAAGCCUCAACAAUAACCCCAUGAUAAUGCCUAGAAUUCAAAGACAAGAAACACUGCAAAAGUUGCUCCAAAUCAGUCACUUCAAACAUUUGCUUCUCCAAUAUCAUCUCCAUCAUCGAUCUCUUGAAGUCCUCGUACGGGUCCUCCGAUUUCUUCACCACUGCGAAGCUCUCCCUUACCUUUCCCUCCACCGUGCAGGGUAUCAGCCACUGAAACCUCGACAAUCUGGCCGGAGAUGACUGUGACUCGUCACAACUCUUUCUCGCUUUCCUGUUAACGUAUCUUUUUGCCUUCUUAACCUUUUUCUUGCGAUGACUGAUCCUGUUAAAGGGUGAUUCACGUAUGGUUUCCAAAUGGGCACGGAACUCCGGCGAAGAAUAAUCAGUAGAGAAGCUUCUGGUUGAUGAUACUAACGUUUCCGUUUCCUCAUUGUCUAUAUCAAUUUCUUCUUCAUCAUCAUCUAAACCUUCACUGCUGAAAAGUCCGCUAUCAGCCGAGGAACUGCUGAUGCGGAUUCUUGGUGUUGUUUUCUUCUUCUUUUUAAUCCGUCGUCUUUUCCGCUCCGUGUUGGGCGGAGGAGGUGGAGGAAGAAAAAUGUUAUCGUUUUCAAAGUCACAGGAAACCAAAGAGUUAGAAAUUUUCCGACGAGGAGUUUCGUCGUACAUUUUGGCCACAACGUGCCAUUUCUCUUCUCUUUCCCAUUGGAACUCAGGCGGAGGAGGAGGAGGAGGUGGUGG
This 883-nucleotide unclassified non-coding RNA is filed under the name Hevea brasiliensis (rubber tree). The record is from RNAcentral. Lineage: Eukaryota; Viridiplantae; Streptophyta; Magnoliopsida; Malpighiales; Euphorbiaceae.